AGGAUGAACGCUAGCUACAGGCUUAACACAUGCAAGUCGAGGGGCAUCAGGAAGAAAGCUUGCUUUCUUGCUGGCGACCGGCGCACGGGUGAGUAACACGUAUCCAACCUGCCCUUUACUCGGGGAUAGCCUUUCGAAAGAAAGAUUAAUACCCGAUGGUACAAUUAUUCCGCAUGGUUUGAUUAUUAAAGGAUUCCGGUAAAGGAUGGGGAUGCGUUCCAUUAGGUUGUUGGUGAGGUAACGGCUCACCAAGCCUUCGAUGGAUAGGGGUUCUGAGAGGAAGGUCCCCCACAUUGGAACUGAGACACGGUCCAAACUCCUACGGGAGGCAGCAGUGAGGAAUAUUGGUCAAUGGGCGUGAGCCUGAACCAGCCAAGUAGCGUGAAGGAUGACUGCCCUAUGGGUUGUAAACUUCUUUUAUAUUAGAAUAAAGUGCAGUAUGUAUACUGUUUUGUAUGUAUAAUAUGAAUAAGGAUCGGCUAACUCCGUG
Molecule: ribosomal RNA, 490 nt
Filed under: uncultured bacterium
Lineage: Bacteria
Description: bacterial SSU rRNA
Rfam family: Bacterial small subunit ribosomal RNA
Source: RNAcentral